This 301-nucleotide ribosomal RNA is filed under the name uncultured bacterium. RNAcentral's name for it is "partial 16S ribosomal RNA". It matches the Rfam family "Bacterial small subunit ribosomal RNA", at positions 509 to 809 of the family's 1533-position model. The record is from RNAcentral.
CAGCCGCCGCGGGAAUACAGAGGGUGCGAGCGUUAAUCGGAUUUACUGGGCGUAAAGCGUGCGUAGGCGGCUUCUUAAGUCGGAUGUGAAAUCCCUGAGCUUAACUUAGGAAUUGCAUUCGAUACUGGGAAGCUAGAGUAUGGGAGAGGAUGGUAGAAUUCCAGGUGUAGCGGUGAAAUGCGUAGAGAUCUGGAGGAAUACCGAUGGCGAAGGCAGCCAUCUGGCCUAAUACUGACGCUGAGGUACGAAAGCAUGGGGAGCAAACAGGAUUAGAUACCCCCGUAGUCCCUGUCUCUUACAC